This 253-nucleotide ribosomal RNA is filed under the name uncultured microorganism. RNAcentral describes it as "partial 16S ribosomal RNA". It matches the Rfam family "Bacterial small subunit ribosomal RNA", at positions 524 to 776 of the family's 1533-position model. The record is from RNAcentral.
UACGUAGGGGGCGAGCGUUGUCCGGAAUUACUGGGCGUAAAGCGCAUGUAGGCGGGCGACUAAGUCAGGGGUGAAAACCGUGGGCUCAACCUAGGAAUUGCGCUUGUGACUGGCGGGCUCGAGUACGGUAGAGGGGGGUGGAAUUGCCGGUGUAGGGGUGAAAUCCGUAGAUAUCGGCAAGAACGCCGGUGGGGAAGCCGGUCUCCUGGGCUGUUACUGACGCUGAGGCCCGAAAGCUGGGGGAGCGAACCGG